CAAUAGCGUAUAUUAACGUUGUUGCAGUUAAAAAGCUCGUAGUUGGAUUUCUGACAGGAAUGACCGGUCUGGAUCUAAAUGGUCUAGAAGUUGUGUUAUAUUUUUGUCAUCCUUAUGAAGAAUAUAUGUGGGCAUUAAGUUGUCGUGUAUAGGAUUCAUAUCGUUUACUGUGAAAAAAUUAGAGUGUUUAAAGCAGGCAUUUAGCUGUGAAUACAUUAGCAUGGAAUAAUAAGAUAGGACUUUGGUACUAUUUUGUUGGUUUGCAUACCAGAGUAAUGAUUAAGAGGGACAGUUGGGGGUAUUCGUAGUUAAUUGUCAGAGGUGAAAUUCUUAGAUUUAUUAAGGACGAACUACUGCGAAAGCAUUUACCAAGGAUGUUUUCAUUAA
RNAcentral lists this ribosomal RNA (387 nucleotides) under uncultured eukaryote. RNAcentral's name for it is "partial 18S ribosomal RNA". It matches the Rfam family "Eukaryotic small subunit ribosomal RNA", at positions 592 to 976 of the family's 1831-position model. The record is from RNAcentral.